RNAcentral lists this ribosomal RNA (643 nucleotides) under Acinetobacter baumannii OIFC137. RNAcentral describes it as "bacterial SSU rRNA". It matches the Rfam family "Bacterial small subunit ribosomal RNA", at positions 28 to 665 of the family's 1533-position model. Lineage: Bacteria; Pseudomonadati; Pseudomonadota; Gammaproteobacteria; Moraxellales; Moraxellaceae. The record is from RNAcentral.
AUUGAACGCUGGCGGCAGGCUUAACACAUGCAAGUCGAGCGGGGGAAGGUAGCUUGCUACCGGACCUAGCGGCGGACGGGUGAGUAAUGCUUAGGAAUCUGCCUAUUAGUGGGGGACAACAUCUCGAAAGGGAUGCUAAUACCGCAUACGUCCUACGGGAGAAAGCAGGGGAUCUUCGGACCUUGCGCUAAUAGAUGAGCCUAAGUCGGAUUAGCUAGUUGGUGGGGUAAAGGCCUACCAAGGCGACGAUCUGUAGCGGGUCUGAGAGGAUGAUCCGCCACACUGGGACUGAGACACGGCCCAGACUCCUACGGGAGGCAGCAGUGGGGAAUAUUGGACAAUGGGGGGAACCCUGAUCCAGCCAUGCCGCGUGUGUGAAGAAGGCCUUAUGGUUGUAAAGCACUUUAAGCGAGGAGGAGGCUACUUUAGUUAAUACCUAGAGAUAGUGGACGUUACUCGCAGAAUAAGCACCGGCUAACUCUGUGCCAGCAGCCGCGGUAAUACAGAGGGUGCGAGCGUUAAUCGGAUUUACUGGGCGUAAAGCGUGCGUAGGCGGCUUAUUAAGUCGGUUGUGAAAUCCCCGAGCUUAACUUGGGAAUUGCAUUCGAUACUGGUGAGCUAGAGUAUGGGAGAGGAUGGUAGA